GACGAACGCUUGCGGCGUGCUUAACACAUGCAAGUCGAACGGAAAGGCCCUGCUUUUGUGGGGUGCUUGAGUGGCGAACGGGUGGGUAACACGUGAGUAACCUGCCCUUGACUUUGGGAUAACUUCAGGAAACUGGGGCUAAUACCGGAUAGGAGCUCCUGCUGCAUGGUGGGGGUUGGAAAGUUUCGGCGGUUGGGGAUGGACUCGCGGCUUAUCAGCUUGUUGGUGGGGUAGUGGCUUACCAAGGCUUUGACGGGUAGCCGGCCUGAGAGGGUGACCGGCCACAUUGGGACUGAGACACGGCCCAGACUCCUACGGGAGGCAGCAGUGGGGAAUAUUGCACAAUGGGCGGAAGCCUGAUGCAGCAACGCCGCGUGCGGGAUGACGGCCUUCGGGUUGUAAACCGCUUUCGCCUGUGACGAAGCGUGAGUGACGGUAAUGGGUAAAGAAGCACCGGCUAACUACGUGCCAGCAGCCGCGGUGAUACGUAGGGUGCGAGCGUUGUCCGGAUUUAUUGGGCGUAAAGGGCUCGUAGGUGGUUGAUCGCGUCGGAAGUGUAAUCUUGGGGCUUAACCCUGAGCGUGCUUUCGAUACGGGUUGACUUGAGGAAGGUAGGGGAGAAUGGAAUUCCUGGUGGAGCGGUGGAAUGCGCAGAUAUCAGGAGGAACACCAGUGGCGAAGGCGGUUCUCUGGGCCUUUCCUGACGCUGAGGAGCGAAAGCGUGGGGAGCGAACAGGCUUAGAUACCCUGGUAGCCCACGCUGUAAACGGUGGGUACUAGGUGUGGGGUCCAUUCCACGGGUUCCGUGCCGUAGCUAACGCUUUAAGUACCCCGCCUGGGGAGUACGGCCGCAAGGCUAAAACUCAAAGGAAUUGACGGGGCCCCGCACAAGCGGCGGAGCAUGCGGAUUAAUUCGAUGCAACGCGUAGAACCUUACCUGGGUUUGACAUGGAUCGGGAGUGCUCAGAGAUGGGUGUGCCUCUUUUGGGGUCGGUUCACAGGUGGUGCAUGGCUGUCGUCAGCUCGUGUCGUGAGAUGUUGGGUUAAGUCCCGCAACGAGCGCAACCCUUGUUCACUGUUGCCAGCACGUUAUGGUGGGGACUCAGUGGAGACCGCCGGGGUCAACUCGGAGGAAGGUGGGGAUGACGUCAAGUCAUCAUGCCCCUUAUGUCCAGGGCUUCACGCAUGCUACAAUGGCUGGUACAGAGAGUGGCGAGCCUGUGAGGGUGAGCGAAUCUCGGAAAGCCGGUCUCAGUUCGGAUUGGGGUCUGCAACUCGACCUCAUGAAGUCGGAGUCGCUAGUAAUCGCAGAUCAGCAACGCUGCGGUGAAUACGUUCCCGGG
This 1343-nucleotide ribosomal RNA is filed under the name uncultured bacterium. RNAcentral describes it as "16S ribosomal RNA". It matches the Rfam family "Bacterial small subunit ribosomal RNA", at positions 28 to 1378 of the family's 1533-position model. The record is from RNAcentral.